Molecule: long non-coding RNA, 181 nt
Organism: Suricata suricatta (meerkat)
Lineage: Eukaryota; Metazoa; Chordata; Mammalia; Carnivora; Herpestidae
Exons: 2
Source: RefSeq, a predicted model, not a curated record
UAUAAUUCAUUCUUUGUCUUUUAUGGCAGUCUCUUUUGAGCCUAUUUUCUGUCAAAGACACACCAAACAUACGGAUGAAGAUCAUUUCUUCCAAGUGAUGUCAUCUAAUGAUAAGGCUAAUGGCAACACUGGAAAGACUCCUGCAUAGUACAGUGGUAUAAAGCAUUCAUAAGUAAUUUAA